GGCCUAACACAUGCAAGUCGAGGGGUAUAGAUAGCUUGCUAUCUAGAGACCGGCGCACGGGUGCGUAACGCGUAUGCAAUCUGCCUUGUACAGGGGGAUAGCCCAGAGAAAUUUGGAUUAAUACCCCAUAGUAUAUCGAAAUGGCAUCAUUAUGAUAUUAAAGUUCCAACGGUACAAGAUGAGCAUGCGUCCCAUUAGCUAGAUGGUAAGGUAACGGCUUACCAUGGCAACGAUGGGUAGGGGUCCUGAGAGGGAGAUCCCCCACACUGGUACUGAGACACGGACCAGACUCCUACGGGAGGCAGCAGUGAGGAAUAUUGGUCAAUGGGCGCAAGCCUGAACCAGCCAUGCCGCGUGCAGGAUGAAGCAUCUAUGGUGUGUAAACUGCUUUUAUACGGGAAGAAACAGUUCUUCGUGAAGAACCUUGACGGUACCGUAAGAAUAAGGACC
Molecule: ribosomal RNA, 450 nt
Filed under: uncultured bacterium
Lineage: Bacteria
Description: bacterial SSU rRNA
Rfam family: Bacterial small subunit ribosomal RNA
Source: RNAcentral